Onychostoma macrolepis is the source of this 682-nucleotide long non-coding RNA. RefSeq lists it as uncharacterized. The transcript has 4 exons. Lineage: Eukaryota; Metazoa; Chordata; Actinopteri; Cypriniformes; Cyprinidae. The record is from RefSeq and is a predicted model, not a curated record.
AGGUGUGUGAGUCAACAUAUUGGCAUGUAAAACAUGCAUCAGCUCUCUUUCUGUGAGAUACUUUCUGCAUAAGGAAUAACUCAAGCGAGAAACUCCCAGAGCGAGCAGGCCUUCCUUCAGUGGACUUUAGAUCGGUCAAGGUUUCAUUCACCUUUCUCGUCUGCUGCCUGUUUGGAGAGCGCUGACCUUUACUAAGGGCUAAACGACUUAAUCCUGCCACCAAUUAAAGGAGCAAGGAUCAUGGACUACAUCUAUGUCAGUCAGGAUUUAUCUCGUCUAAAGAUCAUCUGUAUUCCAUCUGUCCUUCUAAAAGAUCUCAAACACUGAACUGAUGAUUUGAGAACAGACAGAAAGUGAGUGCAAGGAGAAGAGUGUGCAAGGUUGGGAAAAGACAUUGAGACACCGCACUGGCCAUGACGGUGUAUGUCUCAGACAAAAGGGAAUCAUGCUGAUUCUAGAAAGGUGUCCCGCUUUGUUCCUGAUGGGUGGAUCAUUAGCUUAACGUCAUGCUAAACUCUAUUGGCAUCAACUGUGAGUACAGUCACCUUUUCGGAGAGUUAUUUGUGUCAUUUUUAAAUUCUGUAUUUGCUGAUUAAAUCCACAUCAACAGAGCCACAACACCAAAACACACUUCCAGCCUUAUUAACCAAGAGUUAUAGUCCUUUUUGCAAGCCAACUAGUA